CCUACGGGAGGCAGCAGUGGGGGAUAUUGCACAAUGGGGGAAACCCUGAUGCAGCGACGCCGCGUGAGUGAAGAAGUAUUUCGGUAUGUAAAGCUCUAUCAGCAGGGAAGAAAAUGACGGUACCUGACUAAGAAGCCCCGGCUAACUACGUGCCAGCAGCCGCGGUAAUA
Molecule: ribosomal RNA, 170 nt
Filed under: uncultured bacterium
Lineage: Bacteria
Description: partial 16S ribosomal RNA
Rfam family: Bacterial small subunit ribosomal RNA
Source: RNAcentral